This 701-nucleotide ribosomal RNA is filed under the name Salmonella enterica. RNAcentral describes it as "partial 23S ribosomal RNA". It matches the Rfam family "Bacterial large subunit ribosomal RNA", at positions 161 to 901 of the family's 2925-position model. The record is from RNAcentral. Lineage: Bacteria; Pseudomonadati; Pseudomonadota; Gammaproteobacteria; Enterobacterales; Enterobacteriaceae.
AAUCCAUAGGUUAAUGAGGCGAACCGGGGGAACUGAAACAUCUAAGUACCCCGAGGAAAAGAAAUCAACCGAGAUUCCCCCAGUAGCGGCGAGCGAACGGGGAGGAGCCCAGAGCCUGAAUCAGCAUGUGUGUUAGUGGAAGCGUCUGGAAAGGCGCGCGAUACAGGGUGACAGCCCCGUACACAAAAGCGCAUGUGCUGUGAGCUCGAUGAGUAGGGCGGGACACGUGGUAUCCUGUCUGAAUAUGGGGGGACCAUCCUCCAAGGCUAAAUACUCCUGACUGACCGAUAGUGAACCAGUACCGUGAGGGAAAGGCGAAAAGAACCCCGGCGAGGGGAGUGAAAAAGAACCUGAAACCGUGUACGUACAAGCAGUGGGAGCACAGGUUUACCUGUGUGACUGCGUACCUUUUGUAUAAUGGGUCAGCGACUUAUAUUCUGUAGCAAGGUUAACCGAAUAGGGGAGCCGGAGGGAAACCGAGUCUUAAUUGGGCGUUAAGUUGCAGGGUAUAGACCCGAAACCCGGUGAUCUAGCCAUGGGCAGGUUGAAGGUUGGGUAACACUAACUGGAGGACCGAACCGACUAAUGUUGAAAAAUUAGCGGAUGACCUGUGGCUGGGGGUGAAAGGCCAAUCAAACCGGGAGAUAGCUGGUUCUCCCCGAAAGCUAUUUAGGUAGCGCCUCGUGAAUUCAUCUCCGGGG